AAUAUUAUAUUUCUGUUUGCCCUAAAAAUGCAAUGGUUUCUUAUGUCUUUCAGCCUCAAGCUUUAUUCCAGGAAGGUAAUUCUGAAGAUACCUAUCUUCUUGAGAGUGAAAUUUUAUGAAAUCCUAGAUUUCUCCUACCUAGGAAUAACGCUUUAUUCUUUACUCUUGCUGUAUCUUUAUUCUCAAAUGGUUACACAAUGGCAGCAUCAAUUCAAGACCUCACAUCCUCUGAUAUUCAGGUUAAAAUGAAGAAUGAAACGGAAGGGAGAGCUUCUCUCUUUGCAACGCUGGAACAGAUGUCUUGAGUCUGGCUCCUGAUGACUCAAUUUAUGUCAUGUGCUCAGUCCUAAACCAGUCCUUGUGGCAGAAGUGAAGUGGUUGUCAAAAGAAUUGGGGGUAGUAUUGAAAAGAAAAAUAGAAAAUGGCAGGCCAAAAUAUAACAAAUGUCCACUGCCAAAAAUAAUGUUUUCCUGUCAAUUUUUAAGCAUGCAUGUAUGGUUUCAAUGAAUUAGUGAAAGUAUGUGUUGGUGUAUACAUAUACAUAUAAGAAUAUAAUCUAUAUACAUAUAUACACAUACUAUAUGUAUUUAUAGAUAUUAUAGAUAUCCACAUAUGUAAUAUCUAUAUUUUGAAGUAUAUGAAAUAAAGCAACAAGAACCUUCCACUUUUUCUGUGUCCCUGGGGCUUAAUUCUGUGCCUGAUAUACUCAGUAAUACUUUUUGAAUGAAUAAGCAAACAUGAGCUGUUCCUUAACCUUAUAGUAAUCUCUGCUGGACUUCUCUAUCAAAGUGUUUGAUACAGCAAAGUAAGAAUUUCUGUGCAUGUAUAUAAAUAAUUUGAAAAACUAUUCAUAG
RNAcentral lists this long non-coding RNA (854 nucleotides) under Aotus nancymaae (Ma's night monkey). RNAcentral's name for it is "lncRNA (ENSANAG00000039154.1)". The record is from RNAcentral. Lineage: Eukaryota; Metazoa; Chordata; Mammalia; Primates; Aotidae.